CCUACGGGUGGCAGCAGUGAGGAAUAUUGGUCAAUGGACGAGAGUCUGAACCAGCCAAGUAGCGUGAAGGAUGACUGCCCUAUGGGUUGUAAACUUCUUUUAUAUGGGAAUAAAAUGUUCCACGUGUGGGAUUUUGUAUGUACCAUAUGAAUAAGGAUCGGCUAACUCCGUGCCAGCAGCCGCGGUAAUACGGAGGAUCCGAGCGUUAUCCGGAUUUAUUGGGUUUAAAGGGAGCGUAGGUGGAUUGUUAAGUCAGUUGUGAAAGUUUGCGGCUCAACCGUAAAAUUGCAGUUGAAACUGGCAGUCUUGAGUACAGUAGAGGUGGGCGGAAUUCUUGGUGUAGCGGUGAAAUGCUUAGAUAUCACGAAGAACUCCGAUUGCGAAGGCAGUUCACUGGACUGCAACUGACACUGAGGCUCGAAAGUGUGGGUAUCAAACAGGAUUAGAUACCCGUGUAGUC
This 460-nucleotide ribosomal RNA is filed under the name uncultured bacterium. RNAcentral's name for it is "partial 16S ribosomal RNA". It matches the Rfam family "Bacterial small subunit ribosomal RNA", at positions 338 to 795 of the family's 1533-position model. The record is from RNAcentral.